GACGAACGCUGGCGGCGUGCUUAACACAUGCAAGUCGAACGGAAGGGCCCUGCUUUUGUGGGGUGCUCGAGUGGCGAACGGGUGAGUAACACGUGAGUAACCUGCCCUUGACUUUGGGAUAACUUCAGGAAACUGGGGCUAAUACCGGAUAGGAGCUCCUGCUGCAUGGUGGGGGUUGGAAAGUUUCGGCGGUUGGGGAUGGACUCGCGGCUUAUCAGCUUGUGGGUGGGGUAGUGGCUUACCAAGGCUUUGACGGGUAGCCGGCCUGAGAGGGUGACCGGCCACAUUGGGACUGAGAUACGGCCCAGACUCCUACGGGAGGCAGCAGUGGGGAAUAUUGCACAAUGGGCGGAAGCCUGAUGCAGCAACGCAGCGUGCGGGAUGACGGCCUUCGGGUUGUAAGCCGCUUUCGCCUGUGACGAAGCGUGAGUGACGGUAAUGGGUAAAGAAGCACCGGCUAACUACGUG
Molecule: ribosomal RNA, 468 nt
Filed under: uncultured bacterium
Lineage: Bacteria
Description: partial 16S ribosomal RNA
Rfam family: Bacterial small subunit ribosomal RNA
Source: RNAcentral